Molecule: ribosomal RNA, 60 nt
Filed under: Yersinia enterocolitica (type O:3) str. YE12/03
Lineage: Bacteria; Pseudomonadati; Pseudomonadota; Gammaproteobacteria; Enterobacterales; Yersiniaceae
Rfam family: Bacterial small subunit ribosomal RNA
Source: RNAcentral
UACUCGCAGAAGAAGCACCGGCUAACUCCGUGCCAGCAGCCGCGGUAAUACGGAGGGUGC